ACCGGUAGGAUGGAAACGGAUAGAGCCAGCGAAGUCGCUUGUAUUCAGCCAAAAGCCUCGGGCUGCCUGUCGUGUCUGCUUUGUCAGCCGGCUGGUCUGCCUGGGGCCGAGGUGCAUUUGCAGGCGUUUGCGCUGAGACUUGCGGGGCAGCUGCUGGACCCGUGUGCUAGAGGCUUCCCUCUGGGUUGAACCUGGCCGCGGUUACAGCCGGUUUGGCCUGCUCGUACCGGCCCGGUCGGCGGCGGUUGGGCUCCUGUUUGCAGGCCAGGGUGUCGCAUGCGAUGCUCAGUUUGUGGGCUGGAGGUUGGCCGUCGUCCCGGGUCGACUCUCGGUGUAGAAGCUGGUCAUCUCUCCGACCCGUCUUGAAACACGGACCAAGGAGUUUAGCGUAUGCGCAAGUCAUUGGGUGUUAAAACUCACAGGCGCAAAGAAAUUAAAGGCUCGGUCGCCGGGCUGACAUGUGAGUGCCGUCCAGGCACGCAGCAUGGUCCCGUUGCAGUCGCUUGCGACGUAGCGGAGACAGAGCGUAUGCGCUGAGACCCGAAAGAUGGUGAACUAUUCCUGAGCAGGACGAAGCCAGAGGAAACUCUGGUGGAAGUCCGAAGCGAUUCUGACGUGCAAAUCGAUCGUCUGACUUGGGUAUAGGGGCGAAAGACUAAUCGAACCAUCUAGUAGCUGGUUCCCUCCGAAGUUUCCCCCAGGAUAGCUGGAGCACAGUGUACAGUUACACUCGGUAAAGCGAACGAUUAGAGGACUUGGGGACGAAAUGUUCUUAACCUAUUCUCAAACUCUAAAUGGGUGUGAUGCGGACGUUGCUUGACUCUGAACGUCCGCGUUGAAUGUGCGCUCCAAGUGGGCCAUUUUUGGUAAGCAGAACUGGCGAUGUGGGAUGAACCAAACGCACGGUUAAGGUGCCAAAGUUCCCGCUCAUUAGACCCCAUAAAGGGUGUUGGUUGAUAUAGACAGCAGGACGGUGGCCAUGGAAGUCGGAAUCCGCUAAGGAGUGUGUAACAACUCACCUGCCGAAUCAACUAGCCCCGAAAAUGGAUGGCGCUGGAGCGGGACACCCAUACCGUGCCGUCUGUGCUCGAGUCCGCCCCGCGACGGAGCAGGCACAGACGUGUAGGAGGGUCGCAGUGGUUGCG
RNAcentral lists this ribosomal RNA (1145 nucleotides) under Lobocriconema nokandense. RNAcentral's name for it is "partial large subunit ribosomal RNA". It matches the Rfam family "Eukaryotic large subunit ribosomal RNA", at positions 404 to 1402 of the family's 3401-position model. The record is from RNAcentral. Lineage: Eukaryota; Metazoa; Nematoda; Chromadorea; Rhabditida; Criconematidae.